GAUGAAGAAGCAGCGAAAUGCGAUAAGUAAUGUGAAUUGCAGAAUUCAGUGAAUCAUCGAAUCUUUGAACGCACAUUGCGCCCGCUAGUAUUCUGGCGGGCAUGCCUGUCCGAGCGUCAUUUCAACCCUCAAGCCCCCGGGCUUGGUGUUGGGGAUCGGCGAGCCUCCGCGCCCGCCGUCCCCUAAAUCUAGUGGCGGUCUCGCUGUAGCUUCCUCUGCGUAGUAGCACACCUCGCACUGGGAAACAGCGCGGCCACGCCGUUAAACCCCCAACUUCUGAACGUUUGACCUCGGAUCAGGUAGGAAUACCCGCUGAACUUAAGCAUAUCAAUAAGCGGAGGA
Molecule: unclassified non-coding RNA, 342 nt
Filed under: soil metagenome
Description: partial contains 5.8S ribosomal RNA, internal transcribed spacer 2, and large subunit ribosomal RNA
Rfam family: 5.8S ribosomal RNA (bases 1-119)
Source: RNAcentral